AUGCGCGGUCUGCCUCCCGCGGCGGGCCGGGUCUCCAGGGAGGACCUGAGUUUUCUUCACCCAUUGUCAGGGAGGCGCCAUCGCCCUGGCUUUGGGGCUGGGGCCUCCGGGGAGGUUCCGGUAGGGGCGUUGGAGAGGCCGCUCUUUUUGCAAGGCCCGAGACGGCGGGCCCUGCGCAGGCCGCCCUAUUCCGCGCCCUCAGGGCGUCAGUAUCAGCCUGAGGCUGGAUACCCCCGCUGGGCCCGGAUGACCCCGCUGGGCCCGGAGCAUCCUCCGGCGCUGCCCUCCCAGAGCCACGCAGAGGCUGAGGUGGCGCGGGGGCGGCCCCGGCUCCGCGAGAAGCGGCGGCAGCGAGGGCUGGAGGACCCGGGCUGCGGGGCUCCGGGGCGUCUGGCCUGGGUGGGACUGAGCCCAUCCAGGGACUGGGACUCUGGGAUUCUGGUGUAGGUGGAUCCGGGGCAGGCUCAGGACCAAGUCCCUCUCCUUCCACCAAGGAGCGCCCAGAGGCCGGCGGGAGCUCCAGGUUCACCUCCUCCUCCUCCAGGAAAUCCCACUUCCAGCUAGAUGUCUGCAUGAACUACUGAAAGCUGCUGAGUGUCUUGCAGCAGCUUGACUACCACACAAAUGAAUCCAUUCAAAUGUUGGCAAGUGGAGCAGAGUCCCAGGACAGGUACAGAAACACCCCCAGUUCAAGAAUCUUCACAUCUGAAUUUAGUCCUACACCUGCAACUACCCCAGCUACUUACACCAAGAUGAAGAUAAUUUAUUAGUUCAG
This 775-nucleotide long non-coding RNA is filed under the name Homo sapiens (human). Its description in RNAcentral is "family with sequence similarity 66 member A (FAM66A)". The record is from RNAcentral. Lineage: Eukaryota; Metazoa; Chordata; Mammalia; Primates; Hominidae.